RNAcentral lists this long non-coding RNA (2241 nucleotides) under Amborella trichopoda. RNAcentral describes it as "long non-coding RNA (ATRI_LNC003295)". Lineage: Eukaryota; Viridiplantae; Streptophyta; Magnoliopsida; Amborellales; Amborellaceae. The record is from RNAcentral.
UUCUAUAUAUACUGAUAUAUAUUACUAUAUAGACACUUGUUAUCAGUUUAUACAGUUAUUAGCGAAUAUUAUCAGUUUAUACAGUUUAUGCCUUUAUUGGCGUAUACGUACACUGAUUUUUAUACUACACACACGCACUCACACUCAUGCUCACGCUCACGCUCACGCUCACGCUCACGUUCACACACACACAUUCGCACUCACACAUACACUCACACACACUCACACUCACUCACAAUCACACUGACACUCACAAAUAUAUAUACUAUCACCUUUAAUCUGAUAUGCCUCGUGAAAUUCCAUAUUACUUUGUAUAGAAUUAGGCACAAGAAUACGUUUCUUCUCUUGAUGAAUUGGGUACGCUAAAUACCCAAUUGUGAUAAUCCAUGUUAAUUUUUUAUCUUAUUUGUGCUAUUUAUUAUUAUUAUUGUUGAGAUUCAUCUUCAUCAAGUUUUCUUGUUAAUCAACAACCCUGAAAGCAACUUAUCAUCUAGGCGGAUCUCCUUACGUCAAUCGAUAUUUGAGAUCUUGAUCUUGCUAGCUUGAUUUGCUUAAUGGUUCUUUUUUCUCUAAUAUAGUACUGCUCUUGCUUCUUUCAUGCAAAUAAAGAGUGUAUUUUUUAGAGCUUUACUUGUGGUUUGCAAUUUUAUUAUAUAAUCUUUUCUUAACACACACACUCUUGCUUCUUUCAUGCAAAUUUGGAUUGAAUUUUCUGAAGCUUUACUUAUGGUUUACAAUUUUAUUAUGUAUAAAAAUGGCCAUAUAUACACUUAUUUUCAAUUUAUACAUGUACUAACGUAUAUGUACACUGAUUUAUAUACAUUGAUGUAAAUGGCCAUAUAUACACUUAUUUUCAAUUUAUACAUGUAUUAACGUAUAUGUACAUUGAUUUAUAUACAUUGAUGUAAAUGACUAUAUAAACACUUAUUUUCGAUUUAUACAUGUAUUAACGUAUAUGUACACUAAUUUAUAUACUACACACACACUUAUACUCACACUCACACUCACAAACAUGAACACAAACACAGUCACAAACAUAUACACUUAUAUGCUCUUGUAUAUGCACCCUUACGCAUUGAUAGCGCAUAUAGACACUUUUUCUCAGUUUUUACAGUUAUUAGCGUAUAUGUACAUCGAUAUGUAUAUGAAUGCACAUGUGGCUGUUGCAGCCAGAAAGGUGAAUUAACCUAGCCCCCUGCUAAUUGUUUAUUAUUUUUCUCUCAAUUCUUUCUAUUCGAAUCAUUAUCUUUCCUUUGAAUGACUUUUCCUUGCAUAUACAAUUUUUCAAAUUGUGAUAAAAUUAAGCAUUAAAGCUGGAGAUUAUUUCAUCUGGCCAGUGUUUCAAAAAGCGCUAGGUGGGUCCUAGGCGGCCUGGGGGGUCCAGGACGCUCAGUGCCUAGGAGGGGGCGCCCAGAACCUAGGUGGCCCAGUCAAAUCCAACAAGGAUGCCCAGUCAAAGAUGCUUUUAAAGACUCAAAAUUUUCUAAAAAACCUCCCAAUAGAUUUAUAAAACAUCAAAACUUAAAUCUAAUAUCAAUGGGUGAUGUUUUGAUCAAUUUUUGCCAACUUAAAAAAAUAAGAAAUUUCCACCUCUGGGCGGGCACCCGGCUAGGUGGGUUCCAUAUCGCCUAAGUUGGGAGCAGCCCUUGGGCUGGGCGUUGGGUGCCUGGCUACGCUAAGCGGUCCGCUUUUUGAAUCACUGCUUCUGGCUAUCACCUAUAAUCAGGUAUGCUGAGGCGAAAUUCCAUAUUACUAUAUAUAGAAUUAGGUAUAAGAAUAGUUUCUUCUCUUGAUGAGUUGGGUAUGCUAAAUACCCAAUUGUGAUAAUCCAUCUAAAUUUUUUUAUCUUAUUUGUACUUGUUCUUAUUAUUAUUGAUGAGCUUAAUCUUCAUCGAGUUUGCUUGUAAUCAACAAGCAUGAAAGAAACUUAUCAUCGACGCGGAUCUCUUUACCUUGUAGAUACUUAUUAGCAGUUUUUAUAUAAUAUAUACAGUGUGUAUAUAUAUGAUAUGUAUAUACUGAUAUGUUUAUGCGUGUAUAUAUAAACUUUCUAGCAGUUAUAUGUACACUGAUAUACACACGCAGAUACACCCUUUCGCGUUGAUAGUUCACAGAUACAUUUCUAUAUACACUGAUAUAUAUGACUAUAUAGACACGUAUUAUCACUUUAUGCAGUUAUUAGCGUAUAUGUACACUGAUAUGUAUAUGCAAUUUUUGUAUACGUAUUGAUGCAUAACAAUA